Molecule: ribosomal RNA, 51 nt
Filed under: Bipolaris sorokiniana
Lineage: Eukaryota; Fungi; Ascomycota; Dothideomycetes; Pleosporales; Pleosporaceae
Description: partial 28S ribosomal RNA
Source: RNAcentral
UGACCUCGGAUCAGGUAGGGAUAACCCGCUGAACUAAGCAUAUCAAAGGGC